GAUGAACGCUGGCGGCGUGCCUAAUACAUGCAAGUCGAGCGAACAGACGAGGAGCUUGCUCCUCUGACGUUAGCGGCGGACGGGUGAGUAACACGUGGAUAACCUACCUAUAAGACUGGGAUAACUUCGGGAAACCGGAGCUAAUACCGGAUAAUAUAUUGAACCGCAUGGUUCAAUAGUGAAAGACGGUUUUGCUGUCACUUAUAGAUGGAUCCGCGCCGCAUUAGCUAGUUGGUAAGGUAACGGCUUACCAAGGCAACGAUGCGUAGCCGACCUGAGAGGGUGAUCGGCCACACUGGAACUGAGACACGGUCCAGACUCCUAAGGGAGGCAGCAGUAGGGAAUCUUCCGCAAUGGGCGAAAGCUUGACGGAGCCACGCCGCGUGAGUGAUGAAGGUCUUCGGGUUGUAAAACUCUGUUAUUAGGGAAGAAAAAAUGUGUAAGUAACUAUGCACGUCUUGACGGUACCUAAUCAGAAAGCCACGGCUAACUACGUG
This 497-nucleotide ribosomal RNA is filed under the name uncultured bacterium. Its description in RNAcentral is "partial 16S ribosomal RNA". It matches the Rfam family "Bacterial small subunit ribosomal RNA", at positions 28 to 507 of the family's 1533-position model. The record is from RNAcentral.